RNAcentral lists this ribosomal RNA (382 nucleotides) under uncultured organism. RNAcentral describes it as "bacterial SSU rRNA". It matches the Rfam family "Bacterial small subunit ribosomal RNA", at positions 367 to 762 of the family's 1533-position model. The record is from RNAcentral.
CGCAAUGGGCGAAAGCCUGACGGAGCGACGCCGCGUGGUUGAUGAAGUACUUAGGUAUGUAAAAACCUUUUAUGAGGGAAAAAGUUUAUUGAUUGUACCUCAUGAAUAAGGGGUUGCUAAACUCGUGCCAGCAGCAGCGGUAAUACGAGUGCCCCAAGCGUUAUCCGGAAUUAUUGGGCGUAAAGGGUGAGUAGGUGGUUGUAUUAGUCUUGUGUUAAAGCUCCCGGCUCAACCGGGAAAGUGCAUAAGAAACGGUACAACUAGAGUAUGUGAGAGGUACGUAGAACUCAUGGAGUAGGGGUGAAAUCCGUUGAUAUCAUGGGGAAUACCAAAAGCGUAGGCAGCGUACUGGCACAUUACUGUCUCUUAAUCACGAAAGCGU